GACGUAGGGCGCGAGCGUUUGUCCGGAUUUAUUGGGCGUAAAGAGCUCGUAGGCGGCUUGUCGCGUCGUCCGUGAAAACUUGGGGCUCAACCCCCAAGCUUGCGGUCGAUACGGGCAGGCUCGAGUUCGGUAGGGGAGACUGGAAUUCCUGGUGUAGCGGUGAAAUGCGUAGAUAUCAGGAGGAACACCGGUGGCGAAGGUGGCUUUCUGGACAGAAACUGACGCUGAUGCGCGAAAAGCUAGGGGAGCAAACAGG
This 256-nucleotide ribosomal RNA is filed under the name uncultured bacterium. Its description in RNAcentral is "partial 16S ribosomal RNA". It matches the Rfam family "Bacterial small subunit ribosomal RNA", at positions 524 to 776 of the family's 1533-position model. The record is from RNAcentral.